AUUUCCAUUAGUCUGUCUUCCAUCUCAAUUAUUUGUUCUUCUGCCUCCUGUAUUCUGCUCUUGGUUCCUUCCAGUGAAUUUUUUUAUUUCAAUUAUUGUAUUUUGCAAUUCUGCUUGCUUAAUCUUUAAAUAUUCUCUUUCUUUUCCCAGUGUUUCUUGUAAUUUAUCAAUCUUUGCCUCCAGUUUAUUUCCAAGAUCUUGAAUUAUCUUUACUAUCAUUAGUCUAAAGUCUUUUUCACGGAGAUUGGUAAUCUCCAGAUCACUUAGCUGUUUUUCUGGGGCUUUUUUGUUUGUUUGUUUUGCUUUUUAGGGCUGCUGAGGCAUAUGGAAGUUCCUAGUCUAGGGGUUGAAUCGAAGCUACAGCUGCUGGCCUACACUACAGCCACAGCAACAUGGGAUCUGAGCCACAUCCACGACCUACACCACAGCUCACGGCAACACCAGAUCCUCAACCCACAUCCUCAUGGAUCCUAGUCAGGUUCAUUAACUGCUGAGCCUUGAAGGAACUCCAUCUGGGGCUUUUUCUUUUUCCCUUAUCUGAGUCAUAAUUCUCUGCCUUUUCAUCUUGUAUAGAUUUUCAGCAUACCUCCUUUUUGCAAACAAUAGGGUUGUAGUCUCUCUUGCUUCUGAUGUGGCUCUCUUGCUACCUCCUUUGUGGCUGAAUUUGGCAUGGAAGCUUGGUACAGGUACAGGCUUCCUGAUGGGAGAGAUUGGUGUCUGCCCACUAGUAGGUGGAGCUGAUUCUUAUCCCUCUGAUGGGAGGGGCUUUGUCUCUGGGUAUGAUUAGAGGCAGCUGUGCCUGGGGUAGUCUUUAGGCAGCCUUUUGCUGAUGAGUAAGGCUAUGUUUCCCCCCCCCCCCCCAAAAAAAAUGGUUGUUUGGCCUGAGGUUUCUCAGUCCUGAUGGGUGGGGCCAGAUUUUUCCAAAAUGGCCACCUCUAGAGGAGUUCAUGCUGAUGCUUAUUCCCAAGAACUUUGCCUCCAAUAUCCUUCCCCCACAAGAAGCCAUAGUCACCCCUGUUUUCCCAGGAGAUCCUCCAAAAACAGUAGGCAAGUCUGACCCAGAUUCCUGUGGAGUCUCUGCUCUGCCUUGGGACCUAGAGCACAUGAAAGCCUGUGUGUGCCUUUCAAGCGUGGAGUCUCUGUUUUCCCCAGUCCAAUUGAGUUCCUGUACACAAGCUCCACUGGCCCUCAACACCCAGUGCUCCAGGGGCUCCUCCUCCCAAUGCCAGAUCCCCAGGUUUGGGAACAUGAUGUGGGGCUCAGAACUCUUACUACCAUGGGUAAGCCUCUGUGAUAUAGUUACUUUCCAGUCUGUGGGCCACCCACCUGGCAGGAUGGGGUUGCUCAUAUCAUGUAAUCGCCCCCAUGACCAUCUCCAUGUGUCCUCUUCUUUGUCUUUUGGAGUAGGAUAUCUUUUUUGAUAGUUUCUAUUUUGUUAAAGGUUGUUCAGCAGUUGGUUGUAAUUUUGUUGUUUUCACGAGAGAAGGUGAGCUCCAGUCCUUUUAUUCCACCAUCUUAAUUCAGUCUGAUGUUUCACUUUAAAGAACUAGAUUCUAGUAAAUACAUGUCAUUUCUCUAAAUUUGAUACUGAAAUCUAUUUCUAAUAAAAUAAUAAUAAUAGUGAGAGAUUGUUUCCCUUCAGGGAAACUUUUUAAAAGGCAUAGCAAAGCUCUUGUCACUAUAGGACAGGUUUAAAGUUCUACCAGAGGUUGGGCUUAUUAGAUGUUGAUGAUGUUGAUGGGUUGCUGGAUGUUAUAUUAAGUCUCAUGCUAGGUGAUUAAAGACAGCAUAGCACAGUGGUUAAGAGCAUGAUGCUAGAGUUCAGAUCCCAGUGUUGCCUUUUUACUACCUCUAUGACCUUGGGAAAAUUACUCAACCUGUCUGGACCUUAGUUUCAUAAUCUGAAAAAUGAGGAGAACAUUAUUUAGUAUUGUGGACUGAAUGUUUGUGUUCUCCCUAAAUUCAUAUGUUGAAGUCCUACCCCAGUGUGGUUAUACUUAGACGUGGGCUUCAAAGGGAUUAAUUAGGUUAAACAAAGUCCUACGGAUGAAGCCCUGAUUGAAUAGGAUUCGUGUCUUUUAAGAAGAGAUACCAGAGAAGUUUCCAUUGUGGCUCAGUGGAAAUGAAUCCAACUAGUAACCAUGAGGAUGAGGAUUCAAUCCCUGGCCUCACUUGGUGGGUUGGGGAUCCAGCAUUGCCAUGAGCUGUGAGGUCAGACUUUAGCCCCAGCUUUCUGUUAGCAAGAUGGUCAACAAGCAAGCUGGCCUAUCCAGCACCCUCUCCCAGGGAGCUGCCCUUUGAGAUGCAGAGUAAGUCCUUGUCUCCCU
RNAcentral lists this long non-coding RNA (2327 nucleotides) under Sus scrofa (pig). RNAcentral's name for it is "lncRNA (ENSSSCG00055012429.1)". The record is from RNAcentral. Lineage: Eukaryota; Metazoa; Chordata; Mammalia; Artiodactyla; Suidae.